CUAAUAGCCCACACACUUAGAGACGUGUGGCGCUUGUUAACCGAUUGCAACAAUGUUCGCGACGGCGCGAACACUGCUGAGCUUCCAGGCCGUUCGGGAGUUCCGGGCCGUUCGGUAUUGUAUUCCCUAUACUUCAAUCGGUCUUUUGAAUGUGUGUUUUAAUAAAUGUGUUUUUCGUGCGGCGUUCGGUUAUUUUAGCUGGGAUCUGAGCGGUAAUCUCACGAAGGCGCUCAGACCCCAGCUAUCUACCGAACGUCCAUUCGUGCAAAUAGACCAAAUAGUCGAAAAACUGUAUAUUUUAGAGUAAAUUGACGGUUCUGCUGCACGGAGGGAUAAUCCACUUAACGGCACAUUCCAGUGGGAGUAUCCCUCUCGUGCAGCAGUGCCUGAUGGGGGGAAAGGCUCUGUAAUGUAAGUUCCCCACGUAGUCCACUCUGGGUAUGCCCCUAGGAUAGGACUCAGGAAACCUCUUGCAUGGGGAAUUGUAUAAAUUGUGGAGCCUGUGAAUAAAGACCUCAGUUGACUCUCAGAACUGUGUUUCGUCCGGUUACUGGGAGAUUUGGGAUAUUGCCUGCUUUUCAGCGCUGACUGUGGAUUACUUUCUGAACCAGCGGAAUUCGUGGAUUUAAUACUGCCGAUCCGCUACAGUUACACAGUGAGGAUGACCUCCCCCCCCCCCUCUGAUGCCCCAACACCUCAUGCUGUGCUUUCUGCAGACAUAAAGUGACUCAUAUUGUCCCUUGCUAGUAAUGUCACCAUCCG
Non-coding RNA from Pelobates cultripes (western spadefoot toad), 762 nucleotides. NCBI's taxonomy places the organism in Eukaryota, Metazoa, Chordata, Amphibia, Anura, Pelobatidae. The record is from the annotation of a GenBank genome assembly.